GCCUCGAUAGUUUAAUUUGGUAAAACUCCCGACCGAUUAUCGGGCAAUUCUAGUUCAAGUCUAGAUCGAGGUACCA
Molecule: transfer RNA, 76 nt
Filed under: hydrothermal vent metagenome
Description: tRNA-Ile-GAT
Rfam family: tRNA
About the family: Transfer RNA (tRNA) molecules are approximately 80 nucleotides in length.
Source: RNAcentral